UUCAAGCACAUCUACCACCUGC
RNAcentral lists this non-coding RNA (22 nucleotides) under Arabidopsis thaliana (thale cress). Lineage: Eukaryota; Viridiplantae; Streptophyta; Magnoliopsida; Brassicales; Brassicaceae. The record is from RNAcentral.